Molecule: non-coding RNA, 586 nt
Organism: Nothobranchius furzeri (turquoise killifish)
Lineage: Eukaryota; Metazoa; Chordata; Actinopteri; Cyprinodontiformes; Nothobranchiidae
Source: RefSeq, a predicted model, not a curated record
UUUGUCUAAAAUUAAUCGUGCGGUCGACAAUCUGAGUGAGUGGAUUUUAUAAAUAUAUACGUAACGUUCUUUUCUUCAGCUGAGAAAUAUCUCAUUUUACAGAAAAGGAGGGGGUUCAACCUUACCCCGGAAGUGAUAACUUUUACCCAACCACGCCUCCAUCCACCAGCCGAACCGUCUUACAUUCGUAUCAGCCCAGCCAGACCGUCAGAUCACACGCGAACGCGAAAGCUGUUCGUUACAGGACCAUCACGCCACAGACGAUCCUCGAAGCUGAGCAACGGCCGACGGCCUACGCACCCCCAAUAUCUCAGCCCCCACCACCUCCAACCCCUUCUCAUGCGCAGACGAAUGAACAACAUCCGACAGCCGCUUCAAUAUCUCCGCCCACACCACCUCCUCCUCCUCCUCCUCCCCCUUCUCCUGCACAGGAACAAUCCGACAGCGACUCUGAAACCGCUGAACGUGCUCCUGAGCAGCCAGCCGGUAAGCUGUUUCACAAAACCGCUCCGCAGAGUAUAUUAAAUUUUGAAGUAAAAAAGAUGAUGUUUUUUAUCCUUUCAGAACAACCCACGACGGACGAAGA